This 73-nucleotide transfer RNA is filed under the name Chloroflexota bacterium. RNAcentral describes it as "Chloroflexi bacterium tRNA-Thr". Lineage: Bacteria; Bacillati; Chloroflexota. The record is from RNAcentral.
GCCCACGUAGCUCAGGGUGGCAGAGCACAUUCUGGUAAGAAUGAGGUCAUGGGUCUGAUUCCCAUCGUGGGCU